This 85-nucleotide transfer RNA is filed under the name Candidatus Vallotiella hemipterorum. Its description in RNAcentral is "Candidatus Vallotia tarda tRNA-Leu". It matches the Rfam family "tRNA". Rfam says of the family: Transfer RNA (tRNA) molecules are approximately 80 nucleotides in length. The record is from RNAcentral. Lineage: Bacteria; Pseudomonadati; Pseudomonadota; Betaproteobacteria; Burkholderiales; Burkholderiaceae.
GCCCAGGUGGCGAAAUUGGUAGACGCACUAGUUUCAGGUACUAGUAGAUAAAUCUGUGGAGGUUCGAGUCCUCUCCUGGGCACCA